GACGAACGCUGGCGGCGUGCCUAAUACAUGCAAGUCGAACGCAUUCUCUUUCACCGUAGCUUGCUACACCGAAAGAAAAUGAGUGGCGAACGGGUGAGUAACACGUGGGUAACCUGCCCAUCAGCGGGGGAUAACACUUGGAAACAGGUGCUAAUACCGCAUAAUUCCAUUUACUGCAUGGUAGAUGGAUGAAAGGCGCUUUUGCGUCACUGAUGGAUGGACCCGCGGUGCAUUAGCUAGUUGGUGGGGUAACGGCCUACCAAGGCUGCGAUGCAUAGCCGACCUGAGAGGGUGAUCGGCCACACUGGGACUGAGACACGGCCCAGACUCCUACGGGAGGCAGCAGUAGGGAAUCUUCGGCAAUGGACGCAAGUCUGACCGAGCAACGCCGCGUGAGUGAAGAAGGUUUUCGGAUCGUAAAACUCUGUUGUUAGAAAAGAACAAGGAUGAGAGUGGAAAGUUCAUCCCUUGACGGUAUCUAACCAGAAAGCCACGGCUAACUACGUG
Molecule: ribosomal RNA, 507 nt
Filed under: uncultured bacterium
Lineage: Bacteria
Description: partial 16S ribosomal RNA
Rfam family: Bacterial small subunit ribosomal RNA
Source: RNAcentral